UACAGAGGUCUCAACCGUUGUUCGGAUUCAUUGGGCGUAAAGGGUGCGUAGGCGGUCGGGUAAGUCUGAUGUGAAAUCUCACAGCUUAACUGUGAAACUGCAUUGGAUACUAUCCGGCUAGAGGAAUGGAGGGGAGACUGGAAUACUUGGUGUAGCAGUGAAAUGCGUAGAUAUCAAGUGGAACACCAGUGGCGAAGGCGAGUCUCUGGACAGUUACUGACGCUGAGGCACGAAGGCCAGGGGAGCAAACGGG
This 253-nucleotide ribosomal RNA is filed under the name uncultured bacterium. RNAcentral's name for it is "partial 16S ribosomal RNA". It matches the Rfam family "Bacterial small subunit ribosomal RNA", at positions 524 to 776 of the family's 1533-position model. The record is from RNAcentral.